AUGAACGCUGGCGGCGUGCCUAAUACAUGCAAGUCGAGCGAACAGACGAGGAGCUUGCUCCUCUGACGUUAGCGGCGGACGGGUGAGUAACACGUGGAUAACCUACCUAUAAGACUGGGAUAACUUCGGGAAACCGGAGCUAAUACCGGAUAAUAUAUUGAACCGCAUGGUUCAAUAGUGAAAGACGGUUUUGCUGUCACUUAUAGAUGGAUCCGCGCCGCAUUAGCUAGUUGGUAAGGUAACGGCUUACCAAGGCAACGAUGCGUAGCCGACCUGAGAGGGUGAUCGGCCACACUGGAACUGCGACACGGUCCAGACUCCUACGGGAGGCAGCAGUAGGGAAUCUUCCGCAAAGGGCGAAAUCCUGACGGAGCAACGCCGCGUGAGUGAUGAAGGUCUUCGGAUCGUAAAACUCUGUUAUUAGGGAAGAACAAAUGUGUAAGUAACUAUGCACGUCUUGACGGUACCUAAUCAGAAAGCCACGGCUAACUACGUG
This 496-nucleotide ribosomal RNA is filed under the name uncultured bacterium. RNAcentral's name for it is "partial 16S ribosomal RNA". It matches the Rfam family "Bacterial small subunit ribosomal RNA", at positions 29 to 507 of the family's 1533-position model. The record is from RNAcentral.